GACGAACGCUGGCGGCGUGCUUAACACAUGCAAGUCGAACGAUGAAACCUAGCUUGCUAGGUCGAUUAGUGGCGAACGGGUGAGUAACACGUGACUAACCUGCCCCUUUCUCUGGGAUAACGCUCCGAAAGGAGUGCUAAUACCGGAUACUCACAUCGAGGCACAUGCCUUGGUGUGGAAAGUUUUUCGGAAAGGGAUGGAGUCGCGGCCUAUCAGCUUGUUGGUGAGGUAACGGCUCACCAAGGCGACGACGGGUAGCCGGCCUGAGAGGGCGACCGGCCACACUGGGACUGAGACACUGCCCAGACUCCUACGGGAGGCAGCAGUGGGGAAUAUUGCACAAUGGGCGCAAGCCUGAUGCAGCGACGCCGCGUGAGGGACGAAGGUCUUCGGAUUGUAAACCUCUUUCAGUAGGGACGAAGCGAAAGUGACGGUACCUAAAGAAGAAGCACCGGCUAACUACGUGCCAGCCGCCGCGGUAA
RNAcentral lists this ribosomal RNA (482 nucleotides) under uncultured bacterium. RNAcentral describes it as "partial 16S ribosomal RNA". It matches the Rfam family "Bacterial small subunit ribosomal RNA", at positions 28 to 523 of the family's 1533-position model. The record is from RNAcentral.